This 276-nucleotide ribosomal RNA is filed under the name uncultured bacterium. Its description in RNAcentral is "partial 16S ribosomal RNA". It matches the Rfam family "Bacterial small subunit ribosomal RNA", at positions 333 to 606 of the family's 1533-position model. The record is from RNAcentral.
UGCGUCCUAGGGAGGCAGCAGUGAGGAAUAUUGGUCAAUGGGCGGAAGCCUGAACCAGCCAAGUCGCGUGAGGGAAUAAGGCCCUACGGGUCGUAAACCUCUUUUGCCGGGGAGCAAGGGCCGGGACGCGUCCCGGCCCGGAGAGUACCCGGAGAAAAAGCAUCGGCUAACUCCGUGCCAGCAGCCGCGGUAAUACGGAGGAUGCGAGCGUUAUCCGGAUUUAUUGGGUUUAAAGGGUGCGUAGGCGGGUUUUUAAGUCAGCGGUAAAAAUUCGGG